GACGAACGCUGGCGGCGUGCUUAACACAUGCAAGUCGAGCGCUGAAGCCUUCGGGUGGAUGAGCGGCGAACGGGUGAGUAACACGUGGGUGACCUGCCCCUCACUCUGGGAUAAGCCUGGGAAACUGGGUCUAAUACCGGAUAUGACCUUCGAUCGCAUGGUUGUUGGUGGAAAGUUUUUCGGUGGGGGAUGGGCCCGCGGCCUAUCAGCUUGUUGGUGGGGUGAUGGCCUACCAAGGCGACGACGGGUAGCCGGCCUGAGAGGGCGACCGGCCACACUGGGACUGAGACACGGCCCAGACUCCUACGGGAGGCAGCAGUGGGGAAUAUUGCACAAUGGGCGAAAGCCUGAUGCAGCGACGCCGCGUGAGGGAUGACGGCCUUCGGGUUGUAAACCUCUUUCAGCAGGGAAGAAGCGAAAGUGACGGUACCUGCAAAAGAAGCACCGGCUAACUACGUGCCAGCAGCAGCCGCAGUAACAC
Molecule: ribosomal RNA, 481 nt
Filed under: uncultured bacterium
Lineage: Bacteria
Description: bacterial SSU rRNA
Rfam family: Bacterial small subunit ribosomal RNA
Source: RNAcentral